This 428-nucleotide ribosomal RNA is filed under the name uncultured prokaryote. RNAcentral describes it as "bacterial SSU rRNA". It matches the Rfam family "Bacterial small subunit ribosomal RNA", at positions 355 to 774 of the family's 1533-position model. The record is from RNAcentral.
UGAGGAAUCUUGCGCAAUGGGGGAAACCCUGACGCAGCAACGCCGCGUGAGUGAGGAAGGUCUUCGGAUCGUAAAGCUCUGUCGGAUGGAAAGAACCGCAUGAAGGUUAACAGCCUUUGUGUUUGACGGUACCAUCAAAGGAAGCACCGGCUAACUCCGUGCCAGCAGCCGCGGUAAUACGGGGGGUGCAAGCGUUGUUCGGAAUUAUUGGGCGUAAAGAGCGUGUAGGCGGCCUGAUGUGUCAGAUGUGAAAGCCCUGGGCUCAACUCAGGAAGUGCAUUUGAAACUGUCAGGCUCGAGUAGGGGAGAGGGAAGUGGAAUUCCUGGUGUAGAGGUGAAAUUCGUAGAUAUCAGGAGGAACACCGGUGGCGAAGGCGACUUCCUGGCCCUAUACUGACGCUGAGACGCGAGAGCGUGGGUAGCAAACA